UGGUGACAGUGUAUGUUGGAAAGUUCCUGUAGAAUAGCUUCACCGUCCUCUGAGAUGGGACAGGAAACAAGAGAGAGGUCAGCUGGAAACAUGGAAGAGGCUUGAAGAGCUAAAGUCAUGAGAUGAGCCCUGGCAGGAUUAGUUUGGAUACUGUCCAUGGAACUCCUUUCUGUAUCAACCACCACCAUGAAUCUUUACAAUUGCUUGUUCAUGUUCACUGAGGAAGAGGAAGUAGCGUGUUGCGUAAUUAAACAGAAUCUGGAGAAUUAACGCUGAUAUUUG
Molecule: long non-coding RNA, 282 nt
Organism: Lutra lutra (Eurasian river otter)
Lineage: Eukaryota; Metazoa; Chordata; Mammalia; Carnivora; Mustelidae
Exons: 3
Source: RefSeq, a predicted model, not a curated record